Cucumis melo (muskmelon) is the source of this 285-nucleotide long non-coding RNA. RefSeq lists it as uncharacterized. The transcript has 2 exons. Lineage: Eukaryota; Viridiplantae; Streptophyta; Magnoliopsida; Cucurbitales; Cucurbitaceae. The record is from RefSeq and is a predicted model, not a curated record.
CCAACACAGCUACCAGACAUAAAUGGACAAUGAAAAUUAAGCUUGAAAGCCACCUGAAAAUUCUCCAUCCCACGGCAGGCUUGUUCAGACGGAUGGGUUCUUGAACCUGCAACAACAACCAACAAGAUUCAUCCAUAUACAUGUUGCUGGUGUGCAGACGUGGCAGCAUGAGGGGAUGGUGACAUGGAGCAAUGGGUUUCUUCUUGGUUUGUCUUAGGUUAUCAUCCUUGUGAUCCACCUCUCUCUUCAUAAAGAAAAACGGUCUUUGCUUUCUUGUUUUUAAAA